Molecule: long non-coding RNA, 378 nt
Organism: Siniperca chuatsi (mandarin fish)
Lineage: Eukaryota; Metazoa; Chordata; Actinopteri; Centrarchiformes; Sinipercidae
Exons: 4
Source: RefSeq, a predicted model, not a curated record
AGAGGCCAGAGGACAGCAGCUGUAGAAACCAGAAUCAUCCGGUGAUUGGGCGUUGUCGUGUGUGCUGGGCAAACCGUUCUUACUGAACUGCUUCCAUGCUGCCCUGGAUGUGCUGAACGCUGCCGGUUUCUAACUUCUCACUGUCAAACACAAAGAAAGCAUUUGCCCCAUAAAGGAUGCCUGUGACUACAUGUGUUGCCAAGCCCUUCUCAAUGACAUCUAUCUGUUGGGUGUUCAUGGUUUCAAGAUACUUGGCAGAUCCUCCAACUUCAACCAGUCCACUCAGGAAACUGGCCUUCAGAGAAGCUUCAACAUCCAGCAGAGAGGACUUGGAUUCAAUGGAGUCAGAUGAAGUUAUUUCAAAUUCACUGCUGUGCU